AGAGUUUGAUCCUGGCUCAGGAUGAACGCUGGCGGUAUGCCUAACACAUGCAAGUCGAACGAAAGUUUUUAACUUUAGUGGCGAACGGGUGCGUAACACGUGAGAAUCUGCCCUUGGGAGGAGGAUGUUGUUUAUUUUAACAUAACACUCCAUAUGUCGAGAGAUAAAAUAUUUAUUGCCUAAGGAUGAGCUCACGCCUGAUUAGCUAGUUGGUGAGGUAAUAGCUCACCAAGGCCACGAUCAGUAGCUGGUUUGAGAGAAUGAUCAGCCACACUGGGACUGAGACACGGCCCAGACUCCUCUAGGAGGCAGCAGUGAGGAAUCUUCCGCAAUGGGCGAAAGCCUGACGGAGCAAUACCGCGUGAAGGAUGAAGGAUUUUGGUCUGUAAACUUCUUUUUUCAAGAAAGAAAUUUUGACGGUACUUGAAGAAUAAGCAUCGGCUAACUCCGUGCCAGCAGCCGCGGUAAUACGGGGGAUGCAAGCGUUAUCCGGAAUCAUUGGGUGUAAAGCGCCUGUAGGUUGUUUGAUAAGUCUGUUGUUAAAGCCUAGGGCUUAACCCUAGAGAAGCGAUGGAAACUACCAGACUAGAGUAUGGAAGGGGUAGAGGGAAUUUCUAGUGUAGCGGUGAAAUGCGUAGAUACUAGAAAGAACACCAGAAGCGAAAGCGCUCUACUGGGCCAGUACUGACACUCAGAGGCGAAAGCUAGGGUAGCAAAAGGGAUUAGAUACCCCUGUAGUCCUAGCCGUAAACGAUGGAUACUAGAUGUUGUGCGUUACUUGCAACAGAUGUUGCAGAUUAACAUGCAGUGACGAAGCUAACGCGUUAAGUAUCCCACCUGGGGAGUACGCUCGCAAGGGUGAAACUCAAAGGAAUUGACGGGGGCCCGCACAAGCGGAGGAACAUGUGGUUUAAUUCGAUGAUACGCGAGGAACCUUACCAAGGCUUAAAUGUAGAUUGACAGAUUGUGAAAACAGUUUUUCUUCGGACAAUUUACAAGGUGCUGCAUGGUUGUCGUCAGCUCGUGCCGUGAGGUGUCGGGUUAAGUCCCAUAACGAGCGCAACCCCUAUUUUUAGUUACCAGCGAGUAAUGUCGGGAACUCUAGAAAGACUGCCUGUGUAAACAGAGAGGAAGGUGGGGAUGACGUCAAAUCAUCACGGCCCUUAUGUCUUGGGCUACACACGUGUUACAAUGGUUACUACAGUGGGCUGCCAUCUGGCAACAGAGAGCAAAUCCAUAAAGGUAAUCCCAGUUCGGAUCGGAGUCUGCAACUCGACUCUGUGAAGUUGGAUUCGCUAGUAAUCGUAUAUCAGCAAUGAUACGGUGAAUACGUUCCCGGGCCUUGUACACACCGCCCGUCACACCAUGGGAGCUGGUUAUGCCCGAAGUCGUUAUACUAACCGUAAGGAGGAAGACGCCGAAGGUAGAGCUAGUGACUGGGGUGAAGUCGUAACAAGGUAACC
Molecule: ribosomal RNA, 1463 nt
Filed under: uncultured bacterium
Lineage: Bacteria
Description: partial 16S ribosomal RNA
Rfam family: Bacterial small subunit ribosomal RNA
Source: RNAcentral